This 160-nucleotide ribosomal RNA is filed under the name agricultural soil bacterium CRS5655T18-1. Its description in RNAcentral is "partial 16S ribosomal RNA". It matches the Rfam family "Bacterial small subunit ribosomal RNA", at positions 355 to 507 of the family's 1533-position model. The record is from RNAcentral.
UGGGGAAUUUUGGACAAUGGGGGCAACCCUGAUCCAGCCAUGCCGCGUGAGUGAAGAAGGCCUUCGGGUUGUAAAGCUCUUUCGGUGGGAACGAAACGGUUACGACUAAUACUUGUGACUACUGACGGUACCUACAGAAGAAGCACCGGCUAACUACGUG